UGAGACCGAUGCGCGAUUCCCGUCCUCCCUUGUGGCUUGCUGCGGGGGAUCAAGGUCGGCGCGCUCCGCUUUGGUGACUCUGGAUAACUCACUGGUCGAUCGCACGGGCUUCACGCCCGGCGACGGGU
This 128-nucleotide ribosomal RNA is filed under the name Abralia redfieldi. RNAcentral describes it as "partial small subunit ribosomal RNA". Lineage: Eukaryota; Metazoa; Mollusca; Cephalopoda; Oegopsida; Enoploteuthidae. The record is from RNAcentral.